UACGUAGGGACCAAGCGUUGUUCGGAUUUACUGGGCGUAAAGAGCGUGUAGGCGGCCAGGUAGGUCUGCUGUGAAAACUCGAGGCUCAACCUCGAGAUGUCGGCGGAAACCAUCUGGCUAGAGUCCGGAAGAGGAGAGUGGAAUUCCUGGUGUAGCGGUGAAAUGCGCAGAUAUCAGGAAGAACACCCGUGGCGAAGGCGGCUCUCUGGGACGGUACUGACGCUGAGACGCGAAAGCGUGGGGAGCGAACAGG
RNAcentral lists this ribosomal RNA (253 nucleotides) under uncultured bacterium. RNAcentral's name for it is "partial 16S ribosomal RNA". It matches the Rfam family "Bacterial small subunit ribosomal RNA", at positions 524 to 776 of the family's 1533-position model. The record is from RNAcentral.